Molecule: ribosomal RNA, 600 nt
Filed under: Triticum aestivum (bread wheat)
Lineage: Eukaryota; Viridiplantae; Streptophyta; Magnoliopsida; Poales; Poaceae
Description: partial small subunit ribosomal RNA
Source: RNAcentral
AUGGACGUGACCUUCGUGUGCUCGUCGUCGGGGGAGGCGCCGUUCAAGAUGGAGGUGGGCUUCUUCGACACCGUCAUGGACAUCAAGCAGAAGCUCCAGGGGCGCAACGGGUGGCCCGCCGCCGCGCUGUCCCUCUUCCACGACGGCGGCGCGCUCGUGGACGACGACGACGCCGGCGCCGCCGGCGUCACCGAGCGGUACGGCGUCGUGGAGGGCUCCGUCAUCCACGUCGCCCUCGACGGCGACGACAGGCGGCCGCGUCAGGAGAAGAAGAGUGGGGUCAGGAGGCCAAAGGCCCGGCGAGACGGCGUCGCCGCGCCGGCGCCGGCGCCGCUGCGGGUGACGGUGGUGUCGCGGUGCGGCGCGGGGCGCGUGGAGGUGGCGGUGCGCGCGCGGGGGGCGGUGUCGGCGCUGCGCGGGGAGCUGGAGCGGGGCGCGGCGUCCGGGUCCGGGUUCCCGCUGCCGCCGGGCGGCGGCUACUUCUUCAUACACGGGCAGAGCGUGAUGGACGAGGCGCGGUCGUUCGAGUGGCAUGGCGUGGCCGCCGGCGACGAAGUCGUCGUCUUCGAGGGCUCCGUCACCAGAGCGCCGGCGUGCUGA